AUCAGCCGUCACACAAACCCUAGCCCUAAUUUCCCUCAAUCCCCACAGCCUCCCGCUCCCCUCCUCCACCCCCCUCCUCGCGUCACCACGGCCUCCGCCCUGGAGCCCCGCCGCCGCCUCUCCUCCACCCCCUCCUCGCGUCGCCACGGCCUCCGCCUGCUAUUCCUCCUCCACCACGCUAGCCCCUCUACCUCGUCUUCCUUCUCUUCGUUGUCAAUGCGGCCGCAUCGACCGCUGGUUCCAGAUCGAGCGCGGGUUAGGCGAGCCCGGUGGUGGGGUGAAGGGGCAAGGGAAGAGGAGGUGGGAGACUAGGUGAAGGAGUAGGUCGGCCCUCCUGGAGGCGGUGCCGCCGCCCAGCCAGGGAGGAGGCCAGGCUCGCCUCUGUUUUUCCGUGAGCGGCGACAGCGCCUAUGCCUCCACCCCACCUUCUUUUCCAUGCUUCUUCCUUGGCAUGACAGGUAGAUUUUGGGGAGACCCCUUGAAUAAUAAUUCAAGUGGACGGCCGAUGCGCCUUGUUGUUUAGCGGUAUGAUCUAUGAUGGUCGGCGAAAGUAUGUUCUAUAUUGCAAGACUAUUGCCGCUGAUGUCAAGCCUCUCGAGAUCCGAGAGCCUCCUCCAACUUCCCCUCCCCACCAAGGAUGACGUAGUAACCGCACGUAGAAUUACCUACAACUUGAGUAGAUGCACAUUAUUCACUUCAUAUUCCAAUGGUUUUACUUCCACAUCACAUGUUUGUUUAUAUUAAAUCACAAAAAAUUCAUGAGCUUGCUUGGUUACUGUGGAGAAGGGCAUUCUUUCAAGGAGCUGUAGGUUUUUUGAAUAUGCUCCCUAUUGGACACUUUUUUUUGGUAUGUACAAGAUUUGUUGAGAAUGGGUGUGAGAAAAUUGACCAUCCGGUGGAUUUAUACGCACGGUACUCAGACAUGGUGAAAGCAAAGACCGAAAGGUUUCGAUUUAGAUGAUUUGGAGGUGCCUUGUCCAUCUUCUUACCUCCAGGUCAAAAUUAAGCAGAUGUUUUAUUGCUAGAGGACAUGCUCUUACUAUCUGAGAUGGAUGAUGAUGCACGGUACAACCAAAAAUUCAGAGUUGGGCUUUACACACUUCAGUGGGCAAGUGAAUUCCCAGUUUUUCUUAUUUCCCCUGUUACUUCUCUAUUGUACAAAGAGCAAUGAGUUUACAUUAGCUGAAGCCUGAAUGUUAGAUUGGAAUGCAAGAGUAGUAUCACAACACGGGGGUGGAGACCUGAAGCGACGCAGAGGGGCAGCGAACGAAGGAAAUCAGAGUCGCGCUAUUUCUAUAUCCUAAUUCUGCGCUCUUAUUUUUUUACAUAUUUAAUUUACAAUCUUGUGUUCCGAAUAAUUCUUGUGGCUUGACAAGACAGAGUGGAGGAUCAAGGAAUGAAAUCAAAACAUUUUUCUAUUUAAAUAUAUCCAAAGGAUGAUAAUUGGCCGUGUCAAGAUGAGUGCACGAGAAGGAUUGUGAAAAAGAAAGGUGAAAAGGGUUCUGAGUGUUCUUUCCUCACUUUUCAUGACAUGAAUAUGUCCUUUAGUUCUUGUUAUUCAUAUUAAAGAAAGCGAAAAGUAAUAAUUAUGCAUAUUUUGAAAAUUUGUGUUCUACAGUUCAAUCAACGAGACCAUAAUUUAGUGGCGAAACAUACUAAACAGUACAGAUGUUGCCCACACAUGAGCGCCCAUGGGGAAGCCCAGAUCCAUCAUAUCGCUUUGCGUGGAAAGCGGUUCAAUUCUCUAUUUUCCCUGUAUAUAGAGUAUCGUGCUUCCACUAUAUUGCUCAUAGAUCUUGUAUGUGUAUCGCCAAUUUGAUAUGCAAUUAUUUUUUUACCGGAAUAACAUGUUAGGGCAUGACUAUUCUAAGUUUAACAUGUUAUGUAUGCAGACGCACAACAAUAACAAAAGAUAUGGUUUAGUCAUGCACAUGACUACUAAUCACAAAAAGAGUUAGGAACAAGUUUACUAUUGUGAUUUUCAGCAACCGAAAUAGAAGUAGAGUUAACUAAUGAUUUUAAGCUACACUUUAGCCUUGUUCUGAUAACUAGAGCUGCCAUGAUGUUGCUCUAUUAUAAGUGCCUUGCUUACACCAGUUGAAAUAACGCAUGGUUGUAUUUUCUUUUGUUUGCACUGUAGGCAAUGUGUGGUAGAAGCUGUAAUGAUGUAGAGUCCUGUAUAUUUUUUAAAUUCAUAAUUGGCAGUGUCAAUUUGUCAUGUGUGAUGGUGCAUGAAUCAUAGUGAGCUUAUUUCUUUGCACACUUGGUGUAUCCUCUUAACAUCUUCUGUACAGGUCAUAGAAUGGAAAGAUCAGUAUGGUGGUACUGUAUUGAAUCAAUUACAUAGGCUUGGAGACUCCCUUGAUUGGACCCAUGAGAUAAACUUCUUAUUUUCUUAGUUAAGAAAAAUAGUGAAAACAAUGUAUUAUCUAUAGUUCCAAUUCCUAAUGUGAACUUAAUGUCAGCCUUGUGCAUCAGUGCUUUACAAUGGAUGAGAAAAGGUCAAAAGCUAUAAUUUAAGCUUUUGCCAGGUUGUAUAAAGAUGGCCUUAUUUAUAAGUUAGUAUCCUCACCUUUCGUUGUGCCUGUUAA
This is a long non-coding RNA of Triticum urartu, 2591 nucleotides long. RefSeq lists it as uncharacterized. Lineage: Eukaryota; Viridiplantae; Streptophyta; Magnoliopsida; Poales; Poaceae. The record is from RefSeq and is a predicted model, not a curated record.